This 331-nucleotide long non-coding RNA is filed under the name Capra hircus (goat). RNAcentral's name for it is "lncRNA (ENSCHIG00000002817.1)". Lineage: Eukaryota; Metazoa; Chordata; Mammalia; Artiodactyla; Bovidae. The record is from RNAcentral.
UUGAACUGUCCAAGCAAUUAGAAUUGACUUCUCGGUAGAACUGACACCUGAGUGUCAGUCUGAAGAAUGAAUAGGAGUAUCUAGAUGAAGACAGGAAACAAAAUUGAUUGGUAAAGGAGAGUGAUCAGACUUGAGCUGUGAAGAGCUGGCUUGUUUGGUGUUUUCCAGAAAGUAGGAAAUACCUUGCGGGAAGUCUCUACCUGAACAUUCUGGAGAACAUCCCCUUUUGGUAUCAUUCUGCCAUGAUCCAUGAUGUCCUUCAGGGCGAACUGACUGAAAACAUAAAAACAGAAAUGAGAAUCUGCUCAGUUUUGACUCUGUCCUGCACAGG